RNAcentral lists this ribosomal RNA (301 nucleotides) under uncultured bacterium. Its description in RNAcentral is "partial 16S ribosomal RNA". It matches the Rfam family "Bacterial small subunit ribosomal RNA", at positions 509 to 807 of the family's 1533-position model. The record is from RNAcentral.
CAGUCGCCGCGGUAAUACGUAGGGUGCAAGCGUUAAUUGGAAUUACUGGGCGUAAAGCGUGCGCAGGCGGUUAUAUAAGACAGAUGUGAAAUCCCCGGGCUCAACCUGGGAACUGCAUUUGUGACUGUAUAGCUAGAGUACGGCAGAGGGGGAUGGAAUUCCGCGUGUAGCAGUGAAAUGCGUAGAUAUGCGGAGGAACACCGAUGGCGAAGGCAAUCCCCUGGGCCUGUACUGACGCUCAUGCACGAAAGCGUGGGGAGCAAACAGGAUUAGAUACCCCUGUAGUCCCUGUCUCUUAUAC